RNAcentral lists this long non-coding RNA (379 nucleotides) under Cicer arietinum (chickpea). RNAcentral's name for it is "long non-coding RNA (CARI_LNC003378)". Lineage: Eukaryota; Viridiplantae; Streptophyta; Magnoliopsida; Fabales; Fabaceae. The record is from RNAcentral.
UAGACUACAAAUUCAUGAAUUUCUCAUCUCAAGCAUUCGUAAAGUCCACUUCCGUUUCAAAAUACAAAUCGUAGAACAUUUUAAUGUUGAUCAAGCAAUAAAAAUCAUUAAGCACAGAGAUGAGAAAAAUAAUUCAAUAAACUCAUUCAUAUAAAUAGAAAUCAAAUCAUAAAAAUAAGGGUUUCAUCUUGUUACACUCAUCCCUAACAAAUAGGGUUUAGUUACUCAUGACAGAGAUAAAAGAUAUAGAGAUUAGAGAAGAAUUACAAGAAGGAUUCAUGAAUGAUUCUUGAUAAAACUGCUCCAAUGAUGUUAGAAACGGCCGUCUUUGAGUUUCUAUGCUAGGGCAUAAGUCUCCCAACUUCCCAAUAGUGAAAAA